RNAcentral lists this ribosomal RNA (518 nucleotides) under uncultured bacterium. RNAcentral describes it as "bacterial SSU rRNA". It matches the Rfam family "Bacterial small subunit ribosomal RNA", at positions 28 to 534 of the family's 1533-position model. The record is from RNAcentral.
GACGAACGCUGGCGGCGUGGAUUAGGCAUGCAAGUCGGACGGUAGGGCUUUAUCGUAAGAUAGAGUUUGAGAGUGGCGAACGGGUGAGUAACACGUAGGAAUCUACCCUUAAGACGGGGACAACCCAGGGAAACUUGGGCUAAUACCGGAUGUGAGCAACUUUUAGUUGUUUGAAAGGUGGCGUAAGCUGUCGCUUGGGGAUGAGCCUGCGGUCUAUUAGUUAGUUGGUGAGGUAAGAGCUCACCAAGGCGAUGAUAGAUAGGCGGCCUUAACGGGUGGUCGCCCACACUGGGAUUGAGAUACGGCCCAGACUCCUACGGGAGGCAGCAGUCGAGAAUAGUCUACAAUGGCCGGAAGGCUGAUAGUGCGACGCCGCGUGAACGAGGGAGCCCUUCGGGGUGUAAAGUUCUUUUGCUAGGGGAGAAUAAGUGUGGGAGGGAAUGCCUGCACGAUGACAAGGACUAGCGAAUAAAGUCCCGGCCAACUACGUGCCAGCAGCCGCGGUAAGCACGAGAGUA